AAGAAUGUUAACUUCCAUUAUGUGAGAGCAGAUGAAACCAAAGCCUUGGGCCCACACAGCAAACCUUUGGGUAGCAACGAGUUCUAGAAAAAUGGAGCCUAAGGAGUCCAGAUUGUUUUUCCUUGAAAUACCAAGCAAGUCUAAAAUGAUUACUACCCAUGAGAUAUAUUUUUAAUGAUGUUAGGUUUGGGGGUGUGUUAGAUUGUUUUGCAUUGCUAUAAAUGAAUACCUGAGGCUGAGUAAUUUGUAAAGAAAAGAGGUUUAUUUGGCUCACAUUUCUGCCUGGCAGUGGCUAUAGUUGGCUUCUAGUGAGGCUUCAGGAAGCUUUUACUCAUGGUAGAAGGCAAGGGGGGGGCAGGCAUGUCACAUAGCAAGAGGAGGAGUGAGAGAGAGAAGGAGGUGCCAGGCUCCUUUAAAUUGUAAACUAACAGCAAGAACUCACUCAUUCCCAUGAGGAAGGGACCAGGCCAUUCAUGAGGGAUCCUCCCUCAUGACCCAAACACCCCCGACUAGGCCCUACCUCCAAUUCUGAGGAUCACAUUCCAACAUAAGAUUCAGAGAGUGAAAACAUUCAAAGUCUACCAGGAGGUGAUUAAAGUGAUAUGACAAUGUGAGGUAUAUGUUACCUGGAAGGUAGUAGGAGCAGAUGGUGGGAAGAAGAAAAGUGUAGCAACUACCCAGUCCUCUGCAUGAAAGAGCCCUCCCUCAAGAGCUUGGAAGCAACACAAAAUGGGGAGUAGACCAGGUCUACUAUCAGCACAGAGAUAAGAGACUCUGAACAGAGAAGACGGAUCCAAGGGGGACAGCCUGGAGUCGGGGGACCCAGCUGGAGGCCAGCACAGUUGCCUGGGCGAGAGGUGAGCCCUCCCUCCUGGAGAGGUGAGCCCUUCAGAGGAAGAGAUGAGAAACGGAAACCCCUGACUCAUUACCAUCGGCCUUGGCUUGCUGUUCCAUUGGCAGCCCUUUCUACCUGUGAUCAACACAUGCCUAUCUAGCAGCAUACUAACUCUGUCUCUCAUUCUAGAGCACGCAUCCGCCCAGAGUUAAUAAGUUUUAGAAUGUCGGCGUCCUGUCAUUGCAUCAUCCACAGAUUCAGUGACCAGAGAGGAAGAAACACAGGGAAGCUUUAUAUUAAUAAAGGUCUUGCGUUGAAUAUUCCUAAGCAACUGUCAAAAGUAAGCAGUUCGUAUGCUUCUUUUCUGGUGACAAUAAUAGACUGGGCCCCAUCCCUUCCCAGAGCUCCCGAUAAGCAACUGGAUCCAGUCUCCACUCCAGAACCUGAAUGGACUUUUUGCUCAAUACAGCUACUGCUGGCCAGUCAGCUUCAUGGGACAUGUGCCAAGAGGUCUUCCAUUCCAUCUUGAGUAAACAAAUUAGAGUCCUAGCAAAAACUCUUCCCAUGAGCCCUUUAACUGACCUAAAUUCAACAUAUGUCAUAAUCUAGGAGGAAGCACCAAAAUGGAAAACUACUUUAAUUCACAGAAGCUAAAGGAGCAAUUGUAAUGUAAGUGGUUUCUACAAAGUAUAUAUGCAGGAUCAGCAAGCAUGGGAAACGCACACCAGCCCCUGCAGGGAUUCUGGGCUACGAGUGCAUGAAGGCAGAGUCGAGACUGUGGAUUCUGGAAGAAGAAUCCCCUUGAGAGAGCAUCUGAUUCAAAAUUCAUCCAUAUAUGACUUAAAAGCCACCCAGGUUGUCAUAUCAUCUGUAAUGAUUAUUCACUAGAGCCAAGAGUGUUUAUAUUCUGAAGAUCAGAACAAGAUUCCCAACAAAACAGUAAGGGAGCAUUUCAGGGAGCAGUGGGAAUAUGUGUGGGAUGAAGCCAAAUUAUAAAGUCAUUAUUAGGGUGGGUAUGGUGGCUCACACCUGUAAUCCCAACACUUUGGAAGGCCAAGGCAAGAAGAGCACAUGAGCCCAGGAGUUCAAGUUCAGCCAGAGCAACCCUCAGGCUGAGGCAGGAGGGUCACUUGACCCAGGGAGGUCGAUGCUGCAGUGAGCUAUGGUAGCACCACUGCACUUCAGCCUGGACAACAGAGUGAGACCCUGUCUCAAAAAAAAAAAAAAAAAAGUCAUUACUUUAAAGGGCUUCCAAAGUCUAUAUAGAAUGAACUGCCAGCAGCCCAAGGAACUAUAAAUGGAGCUCCAUGUAUUUAUGCAAAUGUUGAGGGCAUAUAUUCAUUUCAAAGAGUGUUUGGUUCCUGCUGUAUUAUCAAUGCCUGUCAGUAAAACAUAAUGUUUAACAC
Molecule: long non-coding RNA, 2241 nt
Filed under: Homo sapiens (human)
Lineage: Eukaryota; Metazoa; Chordata; Mammalia; Primates; Hominidae
Description: long independently transcribed non-coding RNA 691 (LINC00691)
Source: RNAcentral